This 384-nucleotide ribosomal RNA is filed under the name Corynebacterium glucuronolyticum. RNAcentral's name for it is "bacterial SSU rRNA". It matches the Rfam family "Bacterial small subunit ribosomal RNA", at positions 53 to 436 of the family's 1533-position model. The record is from RNAcentral. Lineage: Bacteria; Bacillati; Actinomycetota; Actinomycetes; Mycobacteriales; Corynebacteriaceae.
ACAUGCAAGUCGAACGGAAAGGCUCCAGCUUGCUGGGGUGCUCGAGUGGCGAACGGGUGAGUAACACGUAAGUGAUCUGCCCUGCACUGGGGGAUAAGCUUGGGAAACUGGGUCUAAUACCCUAUAGGACCGCAUCGUGGUUGGUGUGGUGGAAAGGUUUUUCUGGUGUGGGAUGAGCUUGCGGCCUAUCAGCUUGUUGGUGGGGUAAUGGCCUACCAAGGCGGCGACGGGUAGCCGGCCUGAGAGGGUGUGCGGCCACAUUGGGACUGAGAUACGGCCCAGACUCCUACGGGAGGCAGCAGUGGGGAAUUUUGCACAAUGGGCGGAAGCCUGAUGCAGCGACGCCGUGUGGGGGAUGAAGGCCUUCGGGUUGUAAACUCCUUU